RNAcentral lists this ribosomal RNA (388 nucleotides) under uncultured bacterium. RNAcentral describes it as "bacterial SSU rRNA". It matches the Rfam family "Bacterial small subunit ribosomal RNA", at positions 28 to 417 of the family's 1533-position model. The record is from RNAcentral.
GACGAACGCUGGCGGCGUGCUUAACACAUGCAAGUCGAGCGGUAAGGCCCUUUCGGGGGUACACGAGCGGCGAACGGGUGAGUAACACGUGGGUGACCUGCCUCUAGCUCUGGGAUAAGCCCGGGAAACUGGGUCUAAUACUGGAUAUGACUCCAUGACGCAUGUUGUGGGGUGGAAAGCCUUGUGCGGCUAGAGAUGGGCCCGCGGCCUAUCAGCUUGUUGGUGGGGUGAUGGCCUACCAAGGCGACGACGGGUAGCCGGCCUGAGAGGGCGACCGGCCACACUGGGACUGAGACACGGCCCAGACUCCUACGGGAGGCAGCAGUGGGGAAUCUUGCGCAAUGGGCGAAAGCCUGACGCAGCGACGCCGCGUGAGGGAUGACGGCCU